UACGUAGGGUGCAAGCGUUGUCCGGAAUUAUUGGGCGUAAAGAGCUCGUAGGCGGUCUGUCGCGUCGGCUGUGAAAACCCGAGGCUCAACCUCGGGCCUGCAGUCGAUACGGGCAAACUAGAGUACUGCAGGGGAGACUGGAAUUCCUGGUGUAGCGGUGAAAUGCGCAGAUAUCAGGAGGAACACCGGUGGCGAAGGCGGGUCUCUGGGGCAGU
RNAcentral lists this ribosomal RNA (215 nucleotides) under uncultured bacterium. RNAcentral's name for it is "partial 16S ribosomal RNA". It matches the Rfam family "Bacterial small subunit ribosomal RNA", at positions 524 to 737 of the family's 1533-position model. The record is from RNAcentral.